RNAcentral lists this ribosomal RNA (484 nucleotides) under uncultured bacterium. RNAcentral's name for it is "partial 16S ribosomal RNA". It matches the Rfam family "Bacterial small subunit ribosomal RNA", at positions 29 to 507 of the family's 1533-position model. The record is from RNAcentral.
AUUGAACGCUGGCGGCAGGCCUUACACAUGCAAGUCGAGCGGUAGCGGGGCUUUUGGUGCUGACUUGAGGCGCAGAGGGGAGUAAUACACCUAAAAAUCUGCGUUGGAGGGGGGGAUAGCGGCCGGAGACGUGCGCUUAUACCGCACGCGCCAUGAGGGAGAGAGGGGGGGAGCUUGGGACCUCGCGCUAUCAGCGGAGGCUAGGUCGGAUUAGGUAGUUGGUGGGGUAAAGGCCUACCAAGGCGACGAUCCGUAGCUGGUCUGAGAGGAUGAUCAGCCACACUGGAACUGAGACACGGCCCAGACUCCUACGGGAGGCAGCAGUGGGGAAUAUUGGACAAUGGGCGCAAGCCUGAUCCAGCCAUGCCGCGUGUGUGAAGAAGGUCUUCGGAUUGUAAAGCACUUUUGGUCGGGAGGAAGAGCAGUAUGUUAAUACCGUGCUGUCUUGACGGUACCGAAAGAAUAAGCACCGGCUAACUACGUG